UGGGGAAUUUUGGACAAUGGGCGAAAGCCUGAUCCAGCCAUGCCGCGUGAGUGAAGAAGGCCUUCGGGUUGUAAAGCUCUUUUAGUCGGAAAGAAAGAGUUGCAAUGAAUAGUUGUGAUUUAUGACGGUACCGACAGAAAAAGCACCGGCUAACUACGUGCCAGCAGCCGCGGUAAUACGUAGGGUGCGAGCGUUAAUCGGAAUUACUGGGCGUAAAGGGUGCGCAGGCGGUCUUGCAAGUCAGAUGUGAAAGCCCCGGGCUUAACCUGGGAAUUGCGUUUGAAACUACAAGGCUAGAGUGCAGCAGAGGGGAGUGGAAUUCCAUGUGUAGCAGUGAAAUGCGUAGAGAUGUGGAAGAACACCGAUGGCGAAGGCAGCUCCCUGGGUUGACACUGACGCUCAUGCACGAAAGCGUGGGGAGCAAACA
This 427-nucleotide ribosomal RNA is filed under the name uncultured beta proteobacterium. Its description in RNAcentral is "bacterial SSU rRNA". It matches the Rfam family "Bacterial small subunit ribosomal RNA", at positions 355 to 774 of the family's 1533-position model. Lineage: Bacteria; Pseudomonadati; Pseudomonadota; Betaproteobacteria. The record is from RNAcentral.